Prosopis cineraria is the source of this 100-nucleotide small nuclear RNA. The record is from RefSeq and is a predicted model, not a curated record. Lineage: Eukaryota; Viridiplantae; Streptophyta; Magnoliopsida; Fabales; Fabaceae.
UUUCCCUUUUGGGUACAUCCUAUAAAUUGGCCCUAUAGAGAAUAUUCGUAUGGUCCCUGUCUUAGGAUGAUACUCAUAAAUUGAGAAAGCCUAAUUUUUU